GACGAACGCUGGCGGCGUGCUUAACACAUGCCAGUCGAACGGAAAGGCCUCUUUCGGGGGGUACUCGAGUGGCGAACGGGUGAGUAACACGUGAGUAACCUGCCCUUGACUUUGGGAUAACUUCAGGAAACUGGGGCUAAUACCGGAUAGGAGCUCCUGCUGCAUGGUGGGGGUUGGAAAGUUUCGGCGGUUGGGGAUGGACUCGCGGCUUAUCAGCUUGUUGGUGGGGUAGUGGCUUACCAAGGCUUUGACGGGUAGCCGGCCUGAGAGGGUGACCGGCCACAGUGGGACUGAGAGACGGCCCAGACUCCUACGGGAGGCAGCAGUGGGGAAUAUUGCACAAUGGGUGGAAGCCUGAUGCAGCAACGCCGUGUGCGGGAUGACGGCCUUCGGGUUGUAAACCGCUUUCGCUCAUGACGAAGCUUUGUGUGACGGUAGUGGGUAAAGAAGCACCGGCUAACUACGUG
This 467-nucleotide ribosomal RNA is filed under the name uncultured bacterium. Its description in RNAcentral is "partial 16S ribosomal RNA". It matches the Rfam family "Bacterial small subunit ribosomal RNA", at positions 28 to 507 of the family's 1533-position model. The record is from RNAcentral.